AUUGAACGCUGGCGGCAGGCUUAACACAUGCAAGUCGAGCGGGGUGAUGGUGCUUGCACUAUCACUUAGCGGCGGACGGGUGAGUAAUGCUUAGGAAUCUGCCUAUUAGUGGGGGACAACAUCUCGAAAGGGAUGCUAAUACCGCAUACGUCCUACGGGAGAAAGCAGGGGAUCACUUGUGACCUUGCGCUAAUAGAUGAGCCUAAGUCGGAUUAGCUAGUUGGUGGGGUAAGGCCUACCAAGGCGACGAUCUGUAGCGGGUCUGGGAGGAUGAUCGGCCACACUGGGACUGAGACACGGCCCAGACUCCUACGGGAGGCAGCAGUGGGGAAUAUUGGACAAUGGGGGGAACCCUGAUCCAGCCAUGCCGCGUGUGUGAAGAAGGCCUUAUGGUUGUAAAGCACUUUAAGCGAGGAGGAGGCUCUUUUGGUUAAUACCCAAGAUGAGUGGACGUUACUCGCAGAAUAAGCACCGGCUAACUCUGUGCCAGCAGCCGCCGUAA
RNAcentral lists this ribosomal RNA (502 nucleotides) under uncultured bacterium. Its description in RNAcentral is "partial 16S ribosomal RNA". It matches the Rfam family "Bacterial small subunit ribosomal RNA", at positions 30 to 523 of the family's 1533-position model. The record is from RNAcentral.